AUGCUCGCUUCGGCAGCACAUAUACUAAAAUCGGAAUGAUAUAAAGAUUAGCAUGGUCCCUGCGUAAGGAUGACAUGCAAAUUCAUGAAGCAUUCCAUAAUGUU
This is a small nuclear RNA of Ochotona princeps (American pika), 104 nucleotides long. The record is from Ensembl. NCBI's taxonomy places the organism in Eukaryota, Metazoa, Chordata, Mammalia, Lagomorpha, Ochotonidae.